CACUGCAAGGAUUGACAGAUUGAGAGCUCUUUCUUGAUUCGGUGGGUGGUGGUGCAUGGCCGUUUUUAGUUGGUGGAGCGAUUUGUUUGGUUAAUUCCGAUAACGAACGAGACUCUAGCCGGCUAAUUAGUUGACCGGGUGCGCUGCACCGCGGUGCUUACAAAGUGUAAAAUACUUUUUAGAGGGACAGGUGGCGAGAAGUCACACGAGAUUGAGCAAUAACAGGUCUGUGAUGCCCUUAGAUGUCCGGGGCUGCACGCGCGCUACACUGAACGAGACAGCAGGUCCUGUUGGUUCUGGCUCGAGAGGGCUGGGUAAUCCUGUUAACCUCAUUCGUAGUUGGGAUUGGGGCUUGAAAUUGCCCCCAUGAACCAGGAAUUCCGAGUAAGCGC
Molecule: ribosomal RNA, 392 nt
Filed under: Scoloplos armiger
Lineage: Eukaryota; Metazoa; Annelida; Polychaeta; Orbiniidae
Description: SSU rRNA
Rfam family: Eukaryotic small subunit ribosomal RNA
Source: RNAcentral